GCCGAUCACCCAUGAGAUGCCACCCACCUUUCCCAAUGCCAAUUUUAGAUUGGCAUGAUGGAUCUCCACCCUAAGAAGCCUUGUUGCCCACUCUUGAUAGGGAUCAAGAGUUUGGAUCAAUUGGUUGAUCCAAUUGAAUUCAAAUUUAAUUUGCAUUCGAGUGUAGAUGAAAAAUUUGUUCUCAUCCAAACACCUCCACUCCACAUCUAUAUAAACCCCUGAUUUUUAUGGAACAAAUAUCAGAAUAUAGAGAUUGUUGACAG
This 263-nucleotide long non-coding RNA is filed under the name Elaeis guineensis (African oil palm). Its description in RNAcentral is "long non-coding RNA (EGUI_LNC012008)". The record is from RNAcentral. Lineage: Eukaryota; Viridiplantae; Streptophyta; Magnoliopsida; Arecales; Arecaceae.